RNAcentral lists this ribosomal RNA (253 nucleotides) under uncultured bacterium. RNAcentral describes it as "partial 16S ribosomal RNA". It matches the Rfam family "Bacterial small subunit ribosomal RNA", at positions 524 to 776 of the family's 1533-position model. The record is from RNAcentral.
UACGGAGGGUGCAAGCGUUAUCCGGAUUCACUGGGCUUAAAGGGCGCGUAGGCGGGCCGGUAAGUCAGUGGUGAAAUCCUGGAGCUUAACUCCAGAACUGCCAUUGAUACUAUCUGUCUUGAAUAUUGUGGAGGUAAGCGGAAUAUGUCAUGUAGCGGUGAAAUGCGUAGAUAUGACAUAGAACACCUAUGGCGAAGGCAGCUUACUGGGCAGAUAUUGACGCUGAGGCGCGAAAGCGUGGGGAGCAAACAGG